RNAcentral lists this long non-coding RNA (673 nucleotides) under Homo sapiens (human). Its description in RNAcentral is "non-protein coding CNNM3-DT:16". Lineage: Eukaryota; Metazoa; Chordata; Mammalia; Primates; Hominidae. The record is from RNAcentral.
GUCGGACUAGGCUGCGCCGGGGAGUAAACAAGUGGCGGCCAGGGGCGGGCCGGGGGCGUGGGGCUCCGGGCCCCGCCGAGUCUGCUGCGGCUCCGGAUGCGCGGGGUGGCAGUGGCCGGGAGGACGCGGGGCGGCGGGCAGGGCCUCCCAAGCCCGGCUGUCCUCGGCCCGUGCGCGGCGCCCGGAGUCCCACUCCUCCCGAUGCUGUCCCCCGCGCCCGGAGGCCGAGCCAAUUCUCUGGGAAGUUCCCGGCUUGGGAGCGGAGCGGCCGGUCGGAAGAACCUCGGGUGCUGGCGCGCCUGAAGUUGCAGACCAGACUGAAAUGUGCGAGACAUGUGCCUUUUUCUUAGGAAAGGCCCCAGGAGCAGAGUGGAGCUCAGAAAGACUCAGCGUGGGUGCUGGGUUCCGGCGCGACCAGCCUGAUACCUAGGUCAGCAUCUCAGCCACACAAGCAGGCGGCAGUUCUGUCAGGAAUUACUACAUCUGGUGAUUCCACUUCUCAUAGCUCACCGCUGGGAGAAUAAUUCCUCAGGAUUAACAAGAUCUAUUCCAGAGGAUCCUCACUGCUGAAGCGAUUUUAGAAGACAGUGUGGUCUGUUGACAGUAUGGAAUAUUCUUUACCCAUCAGAUAUGAUCUGUAUGUGAUUGGAAGGAAAUAAACCAACUGCUAACA